This 269-nucleotide ribosomal RNA is filed under the name uncultured prokaryote. Its description in RNAcentral is "partial 16S ribosomal RNA". It matches the Rfam family "Bacterial small subunit ribosomal RNA", at positions 524 to 792 of the family's 1533-position model. The record is from RNAcentral.
GACGAAGGUGGCGAGCGUUGUUCGGUGUCACUGGGCUUAAAGAGUAUGUAGGCGGAAAGGUUAGCGUCUUGUGAAAUCCCUCAGCUUAACUGAGGAAUUGCUGGGCGAACUGCCUUUCUUGAGGCAAGUAGGGGUGCAUGGAACUCUUGGUGGAGCGGUGGAAUGCGUAGAUAUCAAGAGGAACGCCGAUGGAGAAAUCAAUGCACUGGGCUUGUCCUGACGCUGAGAUACGAAAGCGUGGGGAGCAAACGGGAUUAGAUACCCCAGUA